UACGAAGGGGGCUAGCGUUGCUCGGAAUGACUGGGCGUAAAGGGCGCGUAGGCGGAUUGCUUUGUCGGGCGUGAAAUUCCAGGGCUUAACCUUGGGGCUGCGUUCGAGACGGGUGAUCUUGAGUUCGGAAGAGGGUCGUGGAAUUCCCAGUGUAGAGGUGAAAUUCGUAGAUAUUGGGGAGAACACCGGUGGCGAAGGCGGCGACCUGGUCCGAGACUGACGCUGAGGCGCGAAAGCGUGGGGAGCAAACAGG
Molecule: ribosomal RNA, 253 nt
Filed under: uncultured bacterium
Lineage: Bacteria
Description: partial 16S ribosomal RNA
Rfam family: Bacterial small subunit ribosomal RNA
Source: RNAcentral